AACGUAGGAGGCAAGCGUUAUCCGAAUUUACUGGGCGUAAAGCGCGUGCAGGCGGUUCGAUAAGUUGGAUGUGAAAGCUCCUGGCUCAACUGGGAGAGGUCGUUCAAUACUGUCGAACUCGAGGAUGGUAGAGGGAGGUGGAAUUCCCGGUGUAGUGGUGAAAUGCGUAGAUAUCGGGAGGAACACCAGUGGCGAAGGCGGCCUCCUGGGCCAUUCCUGACGAUCAGACGCGAAAGCUAGGGGAGCGAACGGG
RNAcentral lists this ribosomal RNA (253 nucleotides) under uncultured bacterium. RNAcentral describes it as "partial 16S ribosomal RNA". It matches the Rfam family "Bacterial small subunit ribosomal RNA", at positions 524 to 776 of the family's 1533-position model. The record is from RNAcentral.